GAGGGUAUAGCUCAGUGGUAGAGCACGUGCCUGGCCUGCAUGAGGUUCUGGGUUCUAUCUCCAAUGCCUCCA
This 72-nucleotide transfer RNA is filed under the name Camelus bactrianus (Bactrian camel). It matches the Rfam family "tRNA". Rfam says of the family: Transfer RNA (tRNA) molecules are approximately 80 nucleotides in length. Their secondary structure includes four short double-helical elements and three loops (D, anti-codon, and T loops). Further hydrogen bonds mediate the characteristic L-shaped molecular structure. tRNAs have two regions of fundamental functional importance: the anti-codon, which is responsible for specific mRNA codon recognition, and the 3' end, to which the tRNAs corresponding amino acid is attached (by aminoacyl-tRNA synthetases). tRNAs cope with the degeneracy of the genetic code in two manners: having more than one tRNA (with a specific anti-codon) for a particular amino acid; and 'wobble' base-pairing, i.e. permitting non-standard base-pairing at the 3rd anti-codon position. The record is from Rfam by way of RNAcentral. RNAcentral also lists the same sequence under 2 other names. Lineage: Eukaryota; Metazoa; Chordata; Mammalia; Artiodactyla; Camelidae.